Molecule: long non-coding RNA, 385 nt
Organism: Dermochelys coriacea (leatherback sea turtle)
Lineage: Eukaryota; Metazoa; Chordata; Testudines; Dermochelyidae
Exons: 3
Source: RefSeq, a predicted model, not a curated record
CUUAAAUAAUAUUUUACUUUCUUGUUUUUGUAAUUAAGGUCAUAGACUAGAGUCCUCAGAUGAUGUGGUGUUAGUACCUGGCCUGGCUACUACAACAGAUGGACAGGAGCCACUGAAUGUUGCCGCUGGACUCCCACCAGACUUCAUCUCCCAUGUGGGCUGCUGCUCUAAACUGCAUGUGGCUCCCUAUAGCUCAAAGGUGUUAUUCCACCAGCCAGGAUGUUGUGAUCAUAUCUUCUUUCCCUCUGCCAUGUCCCCUACAUAAGAGUGCUCCAUGGAGGGUGGAAUAGAGUAACCAAGCAAGCUCUGUGUUGGUGCAAGCUCUGCAUGGUGAAAGAAUCCUCAGUGCUUAACGCAGUAAAGAAACCAGAGCUUCUGUCUCCGG